UUUGGGGGCAAUUUUGCUUAUGUUAUGAAGGACGUAAGCUUGUCAUUGAAACAACUUAUCUUAGAGAUUAUGGCAUCAAGGAUGGUGACCAGUGAUCUAUCCUAUAACUUUUUGGAAGGAGCAAUCCCAGAAAGUCUUGGAGAGUUGACAUCAUUACAGAGACUGAACCUAAAUGGGAAUAGGCUGUCUGGAAGUGUUCAAC
Non-coding RNA from Arachis ipaensis, 202 nucleotides. Lineage: Eukaryota; Viridiplantae; Streptophyta; Magnoliopsida; Fabales; Fabaceae. The record is from RefSeq and is a predicted model, not a curated record.